Molecule: transfer RNA, 60 nt
Filed under: Dipodomys ordii (Ord's kangaroo rat)
Lineage: Eukaryota; Metazoa; Chordata; Mammalia; Rodentia; Heteromyidae
Rfam family: tRNA
About the family: Transfer RNA (tRNA) molecules are approximately 80 nucleotides in length. Their secondary structure includes four short double-helical elements and three loops (D, anti-codon, and T loops).
Source: Rfam by way of RNAcentral
GUAGCUCAGUGGUAGAGUGCUUGCCUUGCAUGCAUGAGGCCCUGAGUUUGAUUCCUCAGC